RNAcentral lists this long non-coding RNA (324 nucleotides) under Homo sapiens (human). RNAcentral's name for it is "HSALNT0303142". Lineage: Eukaryota; Metazoa; Chordata; Mammalia; Primates; Hominidae. The record is from RNAcentral.
UUGCGGUUUAUUGACUUCAGCUUCUAUUUUCCUUCCAUGUGAAAAUGCCAACAUCCCAUUUGGAGAUGACAUGGAGAGCCAGAGGAGGGUAGACAUAGCCAAUCUGCUCAAAGGUGACCCUGAGGAGUUAACCACUGGUACUGAACUCUACCACCCCAUAUUUGAGGAGUUAAGAACAAGCCAACAUCCCCAGAGAAGAUGGCAGAGCAGAAAGAAGAAAGGAACCUGGAUCUUUAACAAAUUUACCAACCCUGGUUAUGACUCAGCAAGAAGACCCCCACUAGAUGCAACCCCUUGAUCUUGGACUUCCUGGCCUCCAGAAAC